UACGUAGGGGCCUAGCGUUGUCCGGAUUUAUUGGGCGUAAAGAGCUCGUAGGCGGUUCGGCAAGUCAGCUGUGAAAUCUCCACGCUUAACGUGGAGGGGUCAGCUGAUACUGCCGUGACUCGAGUCCGGUAGGGGAGUGUGGAAUUCCCGGUGUAGCGGUGAAAUGCGCAGAUAUCAGGAGGAACACCAGCGGCGAAGGCGGCGCUCUGGGCUGGAACUGACGCUGAGGAGCGAAAGCGUGGGGAGCGAACAGG
This 254-nucleotide ribosomal RNA is filed under the name uncultured bacterium. Its description in RNAcentral is "partial 16S ribosomal RNA". It matches the Rfam family "Bacterial small subunit ribosomal RNA", at positions 524 to 776 of the family's 1533-position model. The record is from RNAcentral.